Molecule: long non-coding RNA, 761 nt
Organism: Ananas comosus (pineapple)
Lineage: Eukaryota; Viridiplantae; Streptophyta; Magnoliopsida; Poales; Bromeliaceae
Exons: 2
Source: RefSeq, a predicted model, not a curated record
AGUUAAGUGAAAUUUCAAAACGCAAGGGGCGCAAACUUUCUUUUUUCCCCCCUUUAUCCCCAAACAGUACUACGUGAAAAAGGGUAAAGAAUUCUUCUAUUUCCUUCCCUAUCCCUAAAUAGUGCUCCGUCAAUAUGGGCAAAGAAAUAUGUUUUUUCCCUUUCUAUCGCAGCCAACCCUAUCUCCAAUCUCCUUCGAUCCAAUCCCAAGUCCCAACCCAACUCUCCUGAGGCGCUGUGCCGGAUCGUGGGAAGGGAGUUAGAGAGGGCCCUGCUCAAGCUAUGGGUCUAUUUUGGGGCAGUGUUGUGAGUUCUUGGUGAGGUACAUGAAGCUCCCUGUGGCGGUGUCGUUGGAGCUCGAUAGAAGGAAGUACUAUAUGCCGAUGGCGACGACGGAGGCAGUCCCUCGUGGCGAACACCAACAGUGAUUGCAAGGCCAUCGCCGAGUCGGGAUGAGAUGACGUUGGCGCCCGUCGUGUGCUUAAUCACAACUUGCAGAGUCAGAGCCGCGGAGCUCAAGGCCUUCAUGGAGAACCCCACAAGUUUCAAAAUGCUUACUGUGGUCUUCAAUAGUAGCAGGCAACGUCAUCGACUGUCGUUGCGGCUACAACUGCGGCUCCCAAUUUUGCCUCCGCCCCGUGACUGUGUCAAUAAUUUUGGAAAUCAGGGGGUUAUGAAUUGUUAGGGCGUGUGCAGAGUUGACGAUUUAGCAAGUGCUAAGAAGGUGUUGGAUGAAAUGCAUGUGAAAAAUGUGGUUUCUUA